AAUGAUUAAUGGUACUACGUGAUCAAUCACAUACAUAAUUGCUUUUACUGUCCCUAAUUGUAAAAUCGAACCAACCCUAGCCAAAGUCACUACCUAGGUUGCCUGGACAUGUUCAUUGAUCGAGCUUACACAAACGAGAGAAGAUUCACCAAGCAUGCAGAUUUCAAGCAAUUUUUAUACGAGGUGUUCAUGAGCUAUUUUUAUACAAGUAAAUGCAUACAGAUUGUUUAUGUUUUAAUGUUCAUUACUUUUUCUUUUUGUUCGCCAGUAUACUUAAAUUUCUUGCACCGUCAUUGAUCCAUACUCAAACAAGUUUAAACAAGUCAAAGUAUGUAAAACCUUGAAUGCGUGAGUUAAAUUGCAGUCCCUAAUUACUCCUGAACGUACAUCAGCCAAAUGAUGAGACCCCUAAACUCGAGUUUUUUUUUAAUCAAACUGAACCUUCAUUCAGCAUGAAACAGUAUAUGGGUGUUUGGAACAAAUCUGUCCAAGGACAGAACAAAUCAAACAAGAUUCCGGACUAGAAAUCUCGGAAAGUAGGGAUCGUCAAAUGGUCCGGCCCUGCCCUACAAAAGCCCAACCGGCUCGGACUGAGCAUCAACCAUAUUUUUUUAAAUUUAAGGGCUGGGCUCUUCCAAAAAACAAGACCCUCGGGCUGCCAACGGGCCAGGGCCUUAUGGACUUAUUAGGGCCAGCCACGAGCCCGGGCUUAUGUAUAUAUAUCUAAUACUGAUGAAGAAUAAAGUGUAGAGACAAAGAGAUAGCAAAAGAAUCAUCUUAUCCAUUGAUAGGAGCCCUUUAUAUAGAGAAUUACACAAUACCAAUAUGGUAAGGAUAUGAAUACAUAGAUCUAGUCUAACUACAUAUCCUAUUGGCAUAAGGCCAAGGCACACAUAGAGAAUAUCCUAGAACACUCCCCCUUGUGCCGCGCGCUGAUAUGCCGAUGGUGCUGAUCUGUUGCCUCGUCAAAAACCUCGUCAAGUCACAAAAACCCUGUGGGAGAAAACUGAACCUUGAUCGUAGGAGAAAAAGAGUACAACGCACCCUUCACAUUUGAUAGUGACAUGUAUGUAUGUGCUAGACUCCCCCUGAAGUUCGCACCUCCCCCUGAUCUUUACAUCAAUCAUAGGGCUCUUCCUGAUUCUUACUAAUCACGAAGUUUCAAC
Molecule: long non-coding RNA, 1166 nt
Filed under: Fragaria vesca (wild strawberry)
Lineage: Eukaryota; Viridiplantae; Streptophyta; Magnoliopsida; Rosales; Rosaceae
Description: long non-coding RNA (FVES_LNC004695)
Source: RNAcentral